GAUGAACGCUGGCGGCGUGCCUAAUACAUGCAAGUCGAACGAACAGACAGUGAGCUUUCUCCCCUGACGGUAGCGGGUGACGGGCGGGUAACACAUACAUAAGCUACCUAUUAUACUGGGAGGACUUCGGGAAACCACUUCUAAUACUACAGAAUAUAUUGUACCGGUGAAAUCAAGAGUGAUUCACGGCUUUCGUGAUAGUUAUAGACGGAGCCGGGCCGCAUUAUCGAGUUGGUAAGGUAACGGCUUACCAAGGCAACGAUGCGUAGCCGACCUGAGAGGGUGAUAGGCCACACUGGAACUGAGACACGGUCCAGACUCCUACGGGAGGCAGCAGUAGGGAAUCUUCCGCAAUGGGCGAAAGCCUGACGGAGCAACGACGCGUGAGUGAUGAAGGUCUUCGGAUCGUAAAACUCUGUUAUUAGGGAAGAACAAAUGUGUAAGUAACUAUGCACGUCUUGACGGUACCUAAUCAGAAAGCCACGGCUAACUACGUG
This 497-nucleotide ribosomal RNA is filed under the name uncultured bacterium. RNAcentral's name for it is "partial 16S ribosomal RNA". It matches the Rfam family "Bacterial small subunit ribosomal RNA", at positions 28 to 507 of the family's 1533-position model. The record is from RNAcentral.